CAUGUUAACCACCAAGAACAUUAUUCAGGCGAAACUAUGAAGAUGAAUGCUUCUCCAAGCUUAGUGAUCGUGAUAUUCCUAAUGCUUGGGGUGAGAGGGUUCCAGGUGGAGCAGAGUCCUUCGGUCCUGAGUCUCCAAGAAGGAACUGGUUCUACUCUGCGGUGUAAUUUUUCUGCCGCUAUAAAGUACGUGCAGUGGUUCCGACAGAAUCCUGGGGGCAGCCUCAUCAAUCUGUUUUUCGUGGCUUCAGGGGCGAAACAGAAUGGGAGGGUAGAGGCAACAGUUAAUUCUAAGGACCUCUAUAGCACCCUUCACAUCACGGCCUCCCACCUGGAAGACUCAGGCACCUACCUGUGUGCAGCAGAGGCACAGUGCCCCCAGGUCACCUGCAGGCUGAGCUCAAACUGCAGCCGGGCCCCUGCCACAGGGAAGACUGCACAGCAGCAGUUGCUCAGCUUUGAGCUUUCAGUGAUAUCUAAUAAGGGGACAGGACAUGUGCAUGAGCAGAGAAGAUCCUCAGGUCAGCAGGACUCAGAUCAGAACCCGAGGCUCAGGAUCAAGGACACGGCGGGCCUUGUGUGA
Non-coding RNA from Tupaia belangeri chinensis (Chinese tree shrew), 582 nucleotides. NCBI's taxonomy places the organism in Eukaryota, Metazoa, Chordata, Mammalia, Scandentia, Tupaiidae. The record is from the annotation of a RefSeq genome assembly.